CCUACGGGAGGCUGCAGUAGGGAAUCUUCCACAAUGGGCGAAAGCCUGAUGGAGCAACGCCGCGUGAGUGAAGAAGGUCUUCGGAUCGUAAAACCCUGUUGUUAGAGAAGAAAGCGCGUGAGAGUAACUGUUCACGUUUCGACGGUAUCUAACCAGAAAGCCCCGGCUAACUCCGUGCCAGCAGCCGCGGUAAUACGGAGGUGGCAAGCGUUAUCCGGAUUGAUUGGGCGUAAAGGGCACGCAGGCGGUCUUUUAAGUCUGAUGUGAAAGCCUUGGGCUUAACCGGAGUAGUGCAUUGGAAACUGGGAGACUUGAGUGCAGAAGAGGAGAGUGGAACUCCAUGUGUAGCGGUGAAAUGCGUAGAUAUAUGGAAGAACACCAGUGGCGAAGGCGGCUCUCUGGUCUGUAACUGACGCUGAGGUUCGAAAGCGUGGGUAGCAAACAGGAUUAGAUACCCUUGUAGUC
Molecule: ribosomal RNA, 465 nt
Filed under: uncultured bacterium
Lineage: Bacteria
Description: partial 16S ribosomal RNA
Rfam family: Bacterial small subunit ribosomal RNA
Source: RNAcentral